CCCCUGUAUUCCUCCACGGUUCAGAAACCUGGUGGCAGAUCAGGUCCCUAACUAUACCUCCUGGAGUCAGCACUGCCCCUGGGUGCCCCAGAAACAACCACCUUCGGAAUUUUUGCAAGUUUUAGAACCAGGUGCCCAAGGACUAUGGAAACCCCCAGACAUUAAAGGGAAGCCUAUGGUUCGCUAUGAAACAUUUCCACGGGGCCAGUGCCUCCUCUACAACUGGGAGGAAGAGAGAGCCACCAACCACCUGGAUCAAGUCCCAAGCAUGCAGGAUGGCUCUGAGAGUUUUUUCUUCCGACACGGACACCGGGGACUGCGGACUAUGCAACUAAAGUCACCCAUGCCCCCCAGCACCACCCAGAAAGACUCGUACCAGCCACCAGGAAACGUCUGUUGGCCACUUCGAGGGAAGCGUGAAGCCAUGCUGGAGAUGCUCCUGCGGCAUCAAAUCUGUAAAGAGGUGCAGGCAGAACAGGAACUCACAAGGAAGCUCUUCGAGGUUGAGUCUGUGACACACCAUGACUACCGAAUGGAGCUGGCGCAAGCAGGGACUCCUGCCCCAACAAAGCCUCACGACUACCGCCAGGAGCAGCCUGAGACCUUCUGGAUACAGAGGGCACCACAGCUACCGGGUGUCAGUAACAUCAGGACAUUGGACACACCAUUCCGGAAGAACUGCAGCUUCUCAACACCAGUACCCUUGUCUUUGGGGCAACAUUUGCCCUAUUAGCCUGAGAAUUACCCCUACCAAUUGGGAGAAAUCUCUUCCCUUCCCUGUCCCGGAGGAAGGCUGGGUGGUGGAGGGGGGAGAAUAACUCCUGUCUGAGGGGUGAGGAGGGAAGUGUAUGGAAUAUGGAAUCUAUUUCUGUCUGCACUAGAGAGGUCGGGAGGAAG
Molecule: small RNA, 897 nt
Filed under: Pongo abelii (Sumatran orangutan)
Lineage: Eukaryota; Metazoa; Chordata; Mammalia; Primates; Hominidae
Description: processed transcript
Source: RNAcentral